GGACCUCUCCAUCCUCGAGCCCUUCUUCUCCUCUCUCCGCGCCGUCUCGCCUCCCCUGCUCUCGCAGCGCCACCUUCCCUGCCCGGCGCUCGAGGUGCAGCAGUAGGCGCGCCAUGAUUUUGGAUCGGGCGGAUAUCUUCGCCAGGAGAGUAGGAGCACUUGCUGUUAAUAUGAACGAUCUCUCACUAAGUUUUUGUUAUGACGUUGUGUGCCGAUUCAUGAUUUAAACACGCAAAAUGUUUGGUUUGCAUAUUUGUGCCUAGCCCUGUUACCAGCAGUGUAUUUUUUGCUGUAAGAAAGACAGCAGUGCUUUAUUUCUUUGACUUUUUGAUCGUGUCUAAUUUCUGGUAAAAGAGAGGAAUUUGAGAGAGAUAGACAACCUGAAGAGCUUUGAAUGGUUGUUCGAGUGUGCCGCCGGCCUCCUCGCUGCUGUUGUUUGCGUAGCUGGCACGGUGUGUGGCUACUGCCGAGAUAAGCGCAGUUUACUCCAGGUUUGGUGAUGGUGUUGAACAACACCUUAACUGGGCCAAGGAAUUUAGUAGCAUUGCGGGAUCAUAAACCAGUUUUUCUGUUCUCUGUGCUCACAUAGUAAGAACAUGCUUGCAAGUUCUUUUCCCUAGGUGUAAUUUCUUUUGCUGAGAUAGAUUAAGCCUGGGUCGAGGUGGCUGCUGUGUGCCGGUUGCCAGUACUUGUUUGUUGUAAUGUCUUACCCAGUGAGAUUUCUUUUCUUCUUGCCUAUUUUCAGAGGUUCUGCUUGAAGAUUCUCUAAUCACUUUCUUUGGAUUUUUUUUUCCUGAGAUAUGCUUUCAGGUUACUUCAAUGUUACCAGACUUAAAAUGUACUAUCUAGCAUACUAGCACGUGUGUAUAUGAUGCCUCUUUUUAUCCUUGAAUGUAAGACACAUGGUGUUUUGUUCCAUUGUUAUGCUUAACGGAAGUGAUGUUCUGUUAUCAUAUUCAAAACUAUAGCUCUUUGUUUGCAGUAUCUCGAAGGGAGCAAUAUUUUGAUACUUGCUUUAUAGGAAUUCUCUUUCUUUGCCUAGAAUUUGUGAUUUAUGACUGAUGUCAAUUCCACCUUUGUAGGUGCUUCUCAAUUAUUACUAAUUUUGAAACUGCAGAGGAGCAGGAGAUGAGGAGGGCGCCACUUGGUGUACAAUGGUGCAUGAUGCGGCAGUUAGACCGGGAGAUGAGGAGCGCGGCACUGGGUGUACGAAGGAUUAGUAGGAAGAAUGUUAAUCACAGUGGGUGAAAAG
This 1252-nucleotide long non-coding RNA is filed under the name Triticum aestivum (bread wheat). RNAcentral's name for it is "long non-coding RNA (TAES_LNC007906)". The record is from RNAcentral. Lineage: Eukaryota; Viridiplantae; Streptophyta; Magnoliopsida; Poales; Poaceae.